This 377-nucleotide ribosomal RNA is filed under the name uncultured bacterium. RNAcentral describes it as "bacterial SSU rRNA". It matches the Rfam family "Bacterial small subunit ribosomal RNA", at positions 29 to 396 of the family's 1533-position model. The record is from RNAcentral.
AAUGAACGCUGGCGGCGCGCCUAAUACAUGCAAGUCGAGCGAGAAGACGUAGCAAUACGUUUGUAAAGCGGCGAACGGGUGAGGAAUACAUGGGUAACCUACCCUAGAGUGGGGAAUAACUAGCCGAAAGGUUAGCUAAUACCGCGUACGCUCCUUGGACUUCGGUUCAGGGAGGAAAGCGAUGCCGAGGGUAUCGCGCUCUUGGAUGGGCUCAUGUCCUAUCAGCUUGGGUGAGGUAACGGCUCACCAAGGCUUCGACGGGUAGCUGGUCUGAGAGGACGAUCAGCCACACUGGCACUGCGACACGGGCCAGACUCCUACGGGAGGCAGCAAGUAAGGAAUAUUGCGCAAUGGGCGAAAAGCCUGACGCAGCGACG